UGACCGUUUUCUGUAGCCAGGACGUUGCUUGUUAACGGCGGUUUGAACGCGUUGGUGGAACGAGGAUGACGCGUGGAGACGACGGCAGAGUGCCUAGGAGCGCAUUAUCGAUUCGUGAAAGGAGACUCGCGCCGGUUACUGCGGUUUCCACACGGCGGCAGCGGCGGCGGCAGCGGCGGCGACAACGACGACGCCGUGACGCGACGACGGUACAACGAGGACGAGGAUGGCGACGACGACGUUAACGCCGACGCCAGACCAGUCACUGACAGACAUCGAACAGCAGCCCGUUAGCCGAGUAUUUUGAUAACCUCAUGCCACCGGCCACCGGAACCCUGUUUCCAGUUGAUGGAGAAUUGACACUGUUUGCACACCACCCACGGGUUUAUUUGUUUAACCAGUGAUAUUUGUAGGGGCAAUGGAAAUUCAUUGAAUUCGUAGGUUGGAGUUAGGUCAUGGAACAACGAGCAGGCAAAAUAAAAUUUGUUUCUAAGGACAACGACUACGAUUGCAAAGAGAUAUAAGGCGAUUCGAAUAUUGCCUCUGUCCAGGUAUAAGAAAUAUUCCGAGAAACGAUGGUUUAUUAUGUAAAUGGCAGAAUGGUUUCAUGGCUUCAAAAAGAAACUUUAUACCUAAGUCCAGACGGAAGAAAAAAUACAUAAUAAGAAGCAAAGUAUCGGAGAGAUCUUUGCAACGCUCUUUCAUAACUACAAUUUAAACGAUAAAAUUUAAUUAUGUAAAUUGAGAAGAGACUGGCUUGAAAUGAAACGUUACGUAUGGUACGAUUAGAGUACUUGUUUUACGUAAAAAUUAAUUUAAGCUAUGGGAUCAAAAAAGAAAUACUACUAAUGUCAGAACUAUUUCGCAUUUUUCUAAGAAUUCGAAUAUUUGUCAAAAUAAUUGAGAAAUCAAUUUCAGAUUGUCAUUUUUACCUGUUUGACGGAAAAAUUAAUUUUAAUACUAAAGUAUUCGAAGGAGAUAUCAUGCCCAGGCGAGUAUGCAUGUUCGUGUAUCUGGUGAAUAUAGAAUUGAACGGCGGUUUCCUAGAAAAACUUCUUUAUCUGCUCAUAGACAUGGAAUAGGAGCGGGGAAUAAACAUCGAAUUUAAUUACGAUCGGUACCAGAUAUCUUUGUUUCGCCCUUUUACAACUUUUGUAUAUACAUGUAUAUAUUCGGCUACGGAAAUGGCAAUUCACGAUUACGAUACGACAAGAAACAAGUGAAAUCAGCGAUUAGAUUUAGCGUACGAAGAUAAGAGAAGCAAGUUGGCGAUCAUUUACGCUCGAAGAUAAAGCAACUGUGAAUUCCCGCAACAAAAGCUCUUUGAGGAUCACAUAUUUCAGGCUACAACUCCACGAGAUACGAUUAAUACUACUUGCAAUAUGAUUUUUCUAACACAUUUCUUGAUAGCGAGGUACGCGUACAUGUUACGACGAUGUAAUUAUUCGGGUAACGUUACCGAUACGAUUGUCAGAUUUUUCGUACAUAUCGAUGAAAUAACUGUAAAAGUUAACGAAAGAAUGGACAGCGCGUUGAGACAUUGUAUAUAAUAUAAUAGUUAUUAUUAUUUAAAACAACGUUACUUCUGGCGAAAAAGUGCAGCAUUAUUAUAUGCAGUUGCAAGAACUUGUUAGUUGUUUUUCAAAAGUGGCGAACGUAUUAAAAAUCGCCAAUGUAAUAUAACAGAAGAAGCAAUAAUUUGAUCGAGCAAAUCUUCGAGAAAUAUUAUUAACGGAUAGAAGAAAAGAAUGCUACGUUAUUUAUAGCAAAUAAUCGUCUAUGUGCAGCCAAACAAUUACAUCACGUAUUAUUUUUAAACUUCUUUAACAUGAUAUAAUGACAUAAGAAGCAAAGUACAUAACAUAAUACCAUAUCCGUCAAAACGACCAAUAAUUUUUCAUCGAUAUCCUCGGCUAUUCAACGAUGUUUACCAUAAAUUAUCGAGCUGUGUCUCGGUUAUCUCUUGAUACAAAUGAUUAUUGUAUAAAUAUAAAAAAAAUUAUUCGACAAUCCAUAACUUCAAAUCUAUUUCGAUAUUUCGAGAUUGUAUUAUUUACCAGUGAUUUAUCGUGUACCACUGAUUUUGACAAUUGGAAAAAUAUAGUUACGUAACUAAAUAAUAAAGAAUAUGGCGUUACAAUAGAAUAAACAAUCUAUACAAGUAGUUUUAUAUCCGCGAAAUAUAGAUGCGCUCAGAUAUAAAUAUAUUAUGCGAGUAUAAGUGUGACCUAUCCGUCUUUAUUUCCAUACUUGUGGAAAAAUAGGAUCUUUGGUUAAAGUGAAUGUUUUCCCAUGAACAGUGACACGUACUAGUUACAAUUUUCUGUCUCUCGUGAGGAAACAAUUAACCUGUUCGCAUUCAAUUUUACGCUUAUCGCGAGAGUAUCUGCGGAAUAAUUAAUCCACGUCAUUCUACCUCGUUGAAUUUAGCUAAGAUACGCGAUAAAUGAAUGGAACAAAAAGCACAGUUUCCAUCGAAACGAGAUUAAACUCACACCAAAACCUACGAUAUUUACGUACGAAGAAAUCGAUUCUAAUUACGUAUAUAUUCCAUGUAUUCAAACAAGCAUGAUCAAAUCUCAACCGUAUUUAAUUCUUUUUAUUCAAAUUCGCUGCAUGGAACUCCAUCGUUAUGCAGAAAUUUCUUCAAUAUUAAAAUUUCUUUAAAUUGAAUAAUUUUCAUUUUUAUUAUUAUUAUUAUUAUUAUUUUUCAAUCUGUACAAAGGAAUAUCUUUCAUCGUUGUACCAAUCUGGACAGUAGCAGCUACUUUGCCGUUUGUAUUAAUUAUCAAAAUAAAUUGUCAAAUAAAUUAUCGAAUAAACCUUACAAAUUAAUCGCCAAGUAACUUAUAAAGCAACGCCAGAUGCAAAUACGAACAAAAAUCGACAUAAUUUUCAAGUAUUUCGCGCGGUUAUCGUAAAAUUUAACGCUUUAUUCGCAGUUAUAUGGAACGAUUGAAAAUUUAUCAAGAGCAGGAGAGAAGAUAAUUUUCACGUAAUGAAAAUUUAUGGUAAAUAGGAGAGAAGGACGAUCGUAAAAGCACGAUGGUUUUCUAAAGCGUGUGGGCGAAAGACCAGAAACGUCACCUCGCAAUGGACACCUUGUAAUUCGUCUGAUCGUGUCACAAAGUUUCAUAAUCCCCGCAUCGUAUUUAACAUUUUAACGAUUUAGCCAGCUGUGUGCAUAAUACACUGGCGAUCGGUAUCUAUACCUGGACCUGAGAGCGGUUCGAGAGAACAAAGUGAAAGGUACGCCGCAAAUUAGAUACAGCAGCGAAGGGGGUGCGGGGGUAUAUCGAAGGGGGGACACAAGCACUUGACUCGUUUGAGGAACUUAUUCGCCUGGAAUCUAUCCUCGUUUCGUCUUAUCCCCAAUAAUUCCAAGUAGUUUCAUUAAAUGCGUAAACAGGAGAAACCCGGUUGAUCCGUCGCUUAAUAUCUUGGACGUUACAAGUUCUUCGUUUGUAGAUUUAUUGCACUUGGCAAAUUUUUGCUUAAAAGUUUCGAUAUUUUACAACGUCCCAUAUUUUAUGGCGAUUAGGAGCCAUAAAAUUAUAUAUUAGGUGCCAUAUAUUAGGAUAUUCUGGAAGCGAAUACCCAAUUUGGGAAAAGCACCACUUUCUUAUAAUUAUUCUUUGCAUUUCCAGGUGUUUCUCUGUUUCAUACGUACGCAUGGUUAAAGAGCCGUGAACACUCUUUGUUGGUAAAGCUUGUCGCGACAAAUGCGCGUUAAAUUGAUACGCAAAGUGUUGACAAGUGAUUAUUUAAGAAUAUUUACAAACUGUCUUAAUAGUUACAUUAGAAAUACAAUUGGUUCCGAUAGGAGUUAAAAAACGUUGCGUUAUCGAUAUACUGAUUUUGGUUAUCGUCUCGUUAUCUAUUCUCAUGCCGUGAUAGAUCAACACCGAUCGUUAAUUACACAGCUGAUCAGGCAAAUA
This is a long non-coding RNA of Bombus terrestris (buff-tailed bumblebee), 3938 nucleotides long. RefSeq lists it as uncharacterized. The transcript is spliced from 3 exons. NCBI's taxonomy places the organism in Eukaryota, Metazoa, Arthropoda, Insecta, Hymenoptera, Apidae. The record is from RefSeq and is a predicted model, not a curated record.